UGGGGAAUUUUCCGCAAUGGGCGAAAGCCUGACGGAGCAAUGCCGCGUGGAGGUGGAAGGCCUACGGGUCGUCAACUUCUUUUCUCGGAGAAGAAACAAUGACGGUAUCUGAGGAACAAGCAUCGGCUAACUCUGUGCCGG
Molecule: ribosomal RNA, 141 nt
Filed under: uncultured bacterium
Lineage: Bacteria
Description: partial 16S rRNA
Rfam family: Bacterial small subunit ribosomal RNA
Source: RNAcentral